Molecule: ribosomal RNA, 449 nt
Filed under: uncultured bacterium
Lineage: Bacteria
Description: partial 16S ribosomal RNA
Rfam family: Bacterial small subunit ribosomal RNA
Source: RNAcentral
CCUACGGGGGGCUGCAGUGGGGAAUUUUUCGCAAUGGGGGCAACCCUGACGAAGCAAUGCCGCGUGAAUGAAGAAGGCCUUCGGGUUGUAAAGUUCUUUCGUGGAGGACGAAAAGGUGGGUGCUAAUAUCGCCUGCUGUUGACGUGAAUCCAAGAAGAAGCACCGGCUAACUCCGUGCCAGCAGCCGCUGUAAUACGGGGGGUGCAAGCGUUCAUCGGGAUCACUGGGCGUAACGGGUGCGUAGGCGGUGAAAGCGCCGGGCUCAACCUGGGAAUGGCGGUGGAAACCGGUGUACUAGAGUAUGGGAGAGGGUGGUGGAAUUCCAGGGGGAGCGGUGAAAUGCGUAGAGAUCUGGAGGAACAUCAGUGGCGAAGGCGGCCACCUGGCCCAAUACUGACGCUGAGGCACGAAAGCGUGGGGAGCAAACAGGAUUAGAUACCCGAGUAGUC